AUACGGGGGAUGCAAGCGUUAUUCGGAAUCAUUGGGCGUAAAGGGCACGCAGGCGGUUCUGUCAGUCAGAUGUGAAAGCCCGGGGCUUAACCCCGGACGUGCAUUUGAAACAGCAGGACUUGAGUAUGGUAGAGGAAAGCGGAAUUUCUGGUGUAGAGGUGAAAUUCGUAGAUAUCAGGAGGAACACCGGUGGCGAAGGCGGCUUUCUGGACCAAAACUGACGCUGAGGUGCGAAGGCGUGGGUAGCGAACAGGAUUAGAAACCCCGGUAGUCC
Molecule: ribosomal RNA, 274 nt
Filed under: uncultured bacterium
Lineage: Bacteria
Description: partial 16S ribosomal RNA
Rfam family: Bacterial small subunit ribosomal RNA
Source: RNAcentral